This 264-nucleotide ribosomal RNA is filed under the name uncultured bacterium. RNAcentral's name for it is "partial 16S ribosomal RNA". It matches the Rfam family "Bacterial small subunit ribosomal RNA", at positions 524 to 781 of the family's 1533-position model. The record is from RNAcentral.
UACGUAGGGUGCAAGCGUUGCCCGGAUUUAUUGGGCGUAAAGGGCGCGUAGGCGGCUCUGCACGUUCGUUGUGAAAUCGCCCGGCUCAACUGGGCGGGUCAGCGGGAUACGGCAGAGCUUGAGGCAAGCUAGGGGCAAUGGAAUUCCCGGUGUAGGUGGUGGAAUGCGUAGAUAUCGGGAGGAACGACCAGUGGCGAAGGCGGAGUGCCUGGGCUUGGCUGACGCUGGACUUGCGCGAAAGCGGUGGGGAGCGAGACGGCGAAC